This 200-nucleotide ribosomal RNA is filed under the name uncultured prokaryote. RNAcentral's name for it is "partial 16S ribosomal RNA". It matches the Rfam family "Bacterial small subunit ribosomal RNA", at positions 1183 to 1382 of the family's 1533-position model. The record is from RNAcentral.
CGUCAAGUCAUCAUGGCCCUUACGGCCUGGGCUACACACGUGCUACAAUGGAAAGUACAGAGGGCCGCAAUGCCGCGAGGUGGAGCAAAUCCCAGAAAACUUUUCGUAGUCCGGAUCGGAGUCUGCAACUCGACUCCGUGAAGUCGGAAUCGCUAGUAAUCGCGAAUCAGCAUGUCGCGGUGAAUACGUUCCCGGGCCUU